UCUGAUUGUUGUCCUGGACAUUUAUUGAAACGUGAUUGGGUGAGUUCACAAUCAAGGUUACCAUGCAUACAAGACGAUGAGAUUGCUACCAAUCAGCAAUCUCCUUUGCAAUGCAAUGCUCCACCAUUGGCUGACAUCGCAACAACAGCACAUACCUGAUAACAUACUGACAUACGACAUGAAUUAACAAAAUGUAGGUUUUGGUGUUGAAUCGAAAUGGCUCAAAAUCAUGCUUCUUCAGAAUGACGUUCUGCACGGAACCGUAAUCCUUUUCCAAUCCCAUACAGACAGUGCACGUGAAGCCUCCCUAUCCCCAACCCAAGGCUCUAGAAGUCAUUCAUCUACAUUAUGUCUUGCUACAAGGCAAAAUCAAGCCAAAUUAUUGCACUACAUAUUCUACAAAAAUGAUAAUAAUAAUAAUAAAACAAUUUGAACGUUUGGAUCCUCAAAAUAUAAUACUGUAAUAUUGUCCCUAGACCAGGUGUGUGGUCUGUAAUAUUGUCCCUACAGGUGUGUGUGUAAUAUUGUCCCUAGACCAGGUGUGUGAUCUGUACUAUUGUCCCUAGACCAGGUGUGUGUGACACUGCUACAAAGCACAACCCAAAUGAAACACAACAGGUGAUAAGAAGUUCCCACAGUUUAUCCGUUAAGCAGUUUACAGUUGAGCAGUCUUGCUACGUUAUACUCUCCCUCUGCCUAACUUGUUCAUGCAGUGGUUUCAGCUUCGGGAAUGGAGGUGAAGUGAUUUUAAGAUUGGGUUUUGGUUGCUGUUAUAACAUGACAGGAUGAUGGUUGUUCCAUGUGUCAUGUUGUACUCAAGGGCCAACCUGGACAAAGAGAUCUUGCUGAAGCUGAAUAGAGAUUAAGUUCGAAGGCUUAAUUGUCUCAAGGCUUGUUGAGAUGCAGCUGGAAAUCUCAAGUCAAAAUAUAUACUCGACUGUGCCGCUCUUUAUUUACACACACAUACACUGACAUCAGAAAGACAAAAAAAAAGGUAUUAUUGCCAAGUCUCAGACAGCACUGUGUCAGAGGGGUAGAGUGUUGUGUGUUUUUGUGCGUUUGUGAGUGUGUGCGUUUGUGAGCGUUUGUGUGUGAGUGUGUGCGUUUGUGAGUGUGUGUGUGUGCCAUGAACACAUCCAGUGACUUCACUGACAAAUAAAUACAUGAAUAAAUAAACACUAAGUGUUUUGACACACUAAUAUAAUACACAUAUCGCUACAUAUGAGAGACUAAAAGACUUGAUGUUGUUGUUAUUCUCGCCUUGUUAUAUCAUGUCUGUUUAAGUUCAGUAUUACCAUCCGUCUGGAAACAAAAAGAUGACGAUCAGGACCCACAGGAUACCUUCCUUUUUUGCCGUGAAGAGUUAACAUCAAAGACACGUAGCCAGACCCAGACAGACUCAUUCCUGACAACACUGGAUGCAGGAGAGAGAGUGCACCCCAGCCCAGUCAGGCGUGGAUCCAGUCUGGAGUCCGGUCCAGAUUUUAGAUCCAGUCUGGAGUCUGGUCCAGGUUUUUCAGAUGCAUGCGAGACCUGCGCUGGGUCGGCGUCUGGUGGUUAGACAGACAGCGGAAGACUGCACGCAGAGGGGCUCAGACAAAGCGCUGUGUGUUCACUCUCUCUCACACACACGCACGCACACACACACACACACACACACACACACACACACACACACUCCGUUCUGAGCUUGUUGUCAUGGCCACUCAUGCUUUAUGAUUUGUGAAGCGAAGCUUUGGUCUGUUUGAGAUCGUACAAGGGAAAAGUCACUGGCCUUCAGUUCCUGCAUGGCUUGCUAUCUCAUCACACAGUCCAGCGCACACGGACAGAAAGGUAUGCACUCAGACAGACAGGUAUGCACUCAGACAGACAGGUAUGCACUCAGACAGACAGGUAUGCCGUGGUUAACUACUACACCCCAGAGCCACAUGUGGACAGACAGCUUUUGCUCCCUUUUCUCCCUGGCUUUCUUUCUUUCUCUCUUUCUUUCUUUCUCUCUUUCUUUCUUUCUUUCUUUCUCUCUCUUACUGCAUGUAUCUGCAUGACCCUGGCUAAUGAAGCUGACGGAUGAGAUUGGUUGAAAAGGUUCAGCGGCUCGGUUGUCAGAGACGCCUUGAGCACAAGACUGGACUCAGCUCCUGCUCUUGUUUGCCUGCCUCUGUGCACAGGAAGAGUUUCUCAUCUGGAUGUUUCUGAAGUCUAUUCAUUUACUCUUGCUGGUGAUGGGUGUUGAACCCUGCGUGGUUAAGUGGUUGUGGCAGAAGCUGUAGAAAGGGUUGGUUAUUAUUUCAGUUCCCGUUCCUAAAAGUGAUGAUACAGCUCAACAGAAUCCUCCACCGCUGCAGAGAGUGAAACGGAAUCCAGCCACGUCCUGGUGUGGGUCUGAAACGGAUCCAGCCACGUCCUGGUGUGCGUCUGAAACGGAUCCAGCCACGUCCUGGUGUGGGUCUGAAACGGAUCCAGCCACGUCCUGGUCUGGUUUGACGGAUGCGUGUUUCUGUCCCAGUGACGCAGGCUGCCCAGGAUACACCAGUAUGAUUCAUGCUAGUGAACUACCUCGUUUACAGUCCGAAUGAGUAGGAGACGUAACACAGAUACUAAUGGCUAUUACAUAGCCCUCGUUACCAUGGCACUACAUGAUUAACUUACAUAACCCUCGUUACAACGCCACUACACGAUUAAGUUACAUAACCCUCGUUACCAUGGCACUACACGAUUAAGUUACAUACCCCUCGUUACCAUGGCACUACACGAUUAAGUGCAAGGUAGCUCUGUCUGUGCUCUGUUAUAGUUCAUUUGUGUAGAGUAAUUAAAUAUGAAUAUGCUGUCAUUAGAUUGAACCAGGAGUGGGGUUACAGUUAGGGGUUAUAUUAGCAUAUAGCAUCAAGUCUUUUUACAUACUACUACUAAUAAUAACAAUAAUAAUAAUAAUAAUAACAAUAAUAAUAAUAAUAAUGAACAUAAUAAUAAUAAUAAUAAUAAUAAUAAUGAACAUAAUAAUAAUAAUAAUAAUAAUUGUUGUUGCAUUCAAGGGGUAUGGUCACGAUGUAACAAGGCUGGUGUAAUACACCCUUAUUACAGGGUAGUGCUUUAUAGUGCCUUUAUAACAUUGUAAUUACAUUGUAACACACUAACUAGCUAACUAACAGUCUGUACUUGUAUGUAGAGAGGAAUCCAAAACCUGUUCCCAAUCUCACCCCUAACACUAGCCUGUGUUAAUGUUACUCAGUGUGGCACCAGUGUUAUAUAUCGUACUUAAUUGUGUAGUUAGACUGUAACAUGGGGGAAGUAAUACAACAUGGGGAAAGUGACAUCUACUGUGACAUUAAUAUCAUGCCUUCAUAACCCUUCAUAAUGCUUCAUAACCCUUCACAGCAGAGAAAUGCACCAUACACUAAAAGUCCGUCACAGUGAAGAGGAAACCUCACGCACACAGGCAUGAACUCCCUCCCAUGCCAGUAUGGUGGGCACAGUGUGGUCUGAUGCCAUCUUCCCAUGCCAGUGUGGUGGGCACAGUGUGGUCUGAUGCCACUUUUCCAUGCCAGUAUGGUGGGCACAGUGUGGUCUGAUGCCAUCUUCCUAUGCCAGUGUGGUGGGCACAGUGUGGUCCGAUGCCACCCUCCCAUGCCAGGGAAAACCUCACAGUAAGGAGGGAAAGGAGGAAGAAGGGAACAAACCGGGCAGCCAGCACUGAGCCGGAUCAGGCCCAGCUCCGGGCCCGCAUCGGUGUCCACUUCCUGCUUCAGUGUCCAUAUUAGGAGUGAUGACAGGACAACAAACAUGUGAUGGACAGACAGACGAUCCAAUGGCAGCAGCCGUGUGCUUAUCAAGGACUUGCUACAGUGUCUGUGUCAAUUUGCUACAGUCCCUGUCCUCCAUCCAUGACAGUGAGAGGGUGAGAGGGUGAGAGGGUGAGAGGGUGAGAGGGUGAGAGGGUGAGGUCAGGU
This is a long non-coding RNA of Clupea harengus (Atlantic herring), 3947 nucleotides long. Lineage: Eukaryota; Metazoa; Chordata; Actinopteri; Clupeiformes; Clupeidae. The record is from Ensembl.